Molecule: ribosomal RNA, 468 nt
Filed under: uncultured bacterium
Lineage: Bacteria
Description: partial 16S ribosomal RNA
Rfam family: Bacterial small subunit ribosomal RNA
Source: RNAcentral
GACGAACGCUGGCGGCGUGCUUAAUACAUGCAAGUCGAACGGAAAGGCCCUGCUUUUGUGGGGUGCUCGAGUGGCGAACGGGUGAGUAACACGUGUGUAACCUGUCCUUGACUUUGGGAUAAAUUCACGAAACUCGGGCUAAUACCGGAUAGGAUCUCCUGCUGCACGGUGGGGGAUGGAAAGUUUCGGCGGUUGGGGAUGGACUCGAGGGUUAUCAGCUUGAUGGUGGGGUAGUGGAUUACCAAGGGUAUGACGGGUAGGCGGCCUGAGAGGGUGGCCAGCGACAUUGGGACUGAGAGAGGGCCCAGACGGCUAUGGGACGCAGCAGUGGGGAAUAUUGCACAAUGGGGGGGAGCCUGAGGCGGCAACGCCGGGUGCGGGAUGACGGGCUUCGGGUUGUGAACCUAUUUCGCCUGUGCCGAAGCGAGAGUGACGGUAAUGGGUAAGGAAGCACCGGCUAACUACGUG